AAACUUUAAAUAAAGAGAUAACAUAAAAAUUAUAGCGUUAGUUUAAUAAUAAUUAAAUAAUAUAUUAGAUAUAAUAAUAGCAAAAUUUAAAUGUACCAAUCUGAUCUAUUGUUCAAAAUUUUCUUUCUACAAAUAAAUAAGAGUUUAUUAUAAUGUUUAAAUUUCUAUGUAUAUACAUUUUCACAUAAAAUAGUACCCUGAUCAUAAUGAAGUGGAUACUGUGAAACUUCUCUGUGACGAGCAUGCGGAAAUAUAUCUUCGGGAUUUUCGUGAAGCCAUUGGACAUUACCUAACGUUCCCUUGUUGGCUGAUCUGCACCCGAACCACCAAUAUGCCGUCGCUCUAGGGAAUGCUGGAUCAGCAACAUCCACCUACACAACGUUAACAUAGUUUAAUCAAAGGUAUUGUGCUUUUUUCAUUUUCAAUUACUUAUUUUAUUUAUGUGGAAUAUUUUCUCCAACGUAGAUCAUGUGAGAAGUUUCUGAAUAGAGAGGAAAUAUUUGAAUAUAAAGUUAUAGAAAUAUGAUUU
This is a long non-coding RNA of Bombus pascuorum, 529 nucleotides long. RefSeq lists it as uncharacterized. Lineage: Eukaryota; Metazoa; Arthropoda; Insecta; Hymenoptera; Apidae. The record is from RefSeq and is a predicted model, not a curated record. The transcript has 2 exons.